RNAcentral lists this ribosomal RNA (489 nucleotides) under uncultured bacterium. Its description in RNAcentral is "partial 16S ribosomal RNA". It matches the Rfam family "Bacterial small subunit ribosomal RNA", at positions 28 to 507 of the family's 1533-position model. The record is from RNAcentral.
GACGAACGCUGGCGGCGUGCUUAACACAUGCAAGUCGAACGGUGAAGGGACCAGCUUGCUGGUUCUGGAUGAGUGGCGAACGGGUGAGUAACACGUGAGUAACCUGCCCCCUUCUUCUGGAUAACCGCAUGAAAGUGUGGCUAAUACGGGAUAUUCUGGGUCUGUCGCAUGGCGGGCCCGGGAAGGAUAUUGCUUCGGUGGGGGAUGGGCUCGCGGCCUAUCAGCUUGUUGGUGGGGUGAUGGCCUACCAAGGCGGUGACGGGUAGCCGGCCUGAGAGGGUGGACGGUCACACUGGGACUGAGACACGGCCCAGACUCCUACGGGAGGCAGCAGUGGGGAAUAGUGCACAAUGGGCGCAAGCCUGAUGCAGCGACGCCGCGUGAGGGAGGGAGGCCUUCGGGUUGUAAACCUCUUUCGCCAGUGAAGCAGGCCUGCUCCUUGUGGGUGGGUUGACGGUAGCUGGAUAAGAAGCGCCGGCUAACUACGUG